RNAcentral lists this transfer RNA (67 nucleotides) under Arcuatula senhousia (Asian date mussel). RNAcentral's name for it is "tRNA-Thr". The record is from RNAcentral. Lineage: Eukaryota; Metazoa; Mollusca; Bivalvia; Mytilida; Mytilidae.
GCUCUUAAAGCUUUUACACUGAAGCGUUGGUUUUGUAAGCCAGAUAAGCAUUUAUUUGUUAAGAGCU